UAGUUGGCAGGGUAAAGGCCUACCAAGGCGAUGAUGGUUAGCUGGUCUGAGAGGAUGAUCAGCCACACUGGAACUGAAACACGGUCCAGACUCCUACGGGAGGCAGCAGUGAGGAAUUUUGCGCAAUGGGGGAAACCCUGACGCAGCAACGCCGCGUGAGUGAAGAAGGCUUUCGGGUCGUAAAGCUCUGUCAAGAGGGAAGAAGGUAAAAGAUGGUAAUACUGUUUUUUAUUGACGGUACCUCUGAAGGAAGCACCGGCUAACUCCGUGCCAGCAGCCGCGGUAAUACGGGGGGUGCAAGCGUUAUUCGGAUUUAUUGGGCGUAAAGAGCGCGUAGGCGGUUUAUCAAGUCAGAUGUGAAAGCCCUGGGCUCAACCUGGGAAGUGCAUUUGAAACUAGUAGACUUGAGUAUGGGAGAGGGGAGUGGAAUUCCUGGUGUAGAGGUGAAAUUCGUAGAUAUCAGGAGGAACACCGGUGGCGAAGGCGACUUCCUGGACCAAUACUGACGCUGAGGCGCGAAGGCGUGGGGAGCAAACAGGAUUAGAUACCCUGGUAGUCCACGCGGUAAAC
Molecule: ribosomal RNA, 570 nt
Filed under: uncultured delta proteobacterium
Lineage: Bacteria; Deltaproteobacteria
Description: bacterial SSU rRNA
Rfam family: Bacterial small subunit ribosomal RNA
Source: RNAcentral